Molecule: unclassified non-coding RNA, 899 nt
Filed under: Hevea brasiliensis (rubber tree)
Lineage: Eukaryota; Viridiplantae; Streptophyta; Magnoliopsida; Malpighiales; Euphorbiaceae
Source: RNAcentral
CUUCCCCCAUACGGAACUCAAGAAUGGGGUGUUUAUCCGGGAAAGGAGAAGAAGUGCCUGAAUUUGAGAUUACUGAGCCUGGUGAAAUGAACUGCCUGCCUGGGCUUCCUGGGUGUAGUGGAUAAGACUGGAAUUCAUAAUGGGAUAAUGCAAACUUUUGAUUGGUCCCGCUGUUUCUUCGAGCACGCUCCAAAGAAGACGUCAGGAGUUGAGCAAAUGGCACUUCUGGGGAAGAAGGUGUAGUCAGCUGAACAGAUUCAGGAGGCGGAGUGAAAGGUGCAGUGGAUGGUUCAGUGGUGAAGGCAGAAAACGCAGGGGGGGUAACUAGCUGGGGUUCAUGAGCAUAUGGAAAAAAUGGAUGCAGGUCCACCAGGGGAGUAGGCAUUCAUAGAAAGAGAAGUAAGAGAAAGCAAUCCUGCAGGUGAUUGAGUGACAGAAGGGGGAUCAGAUUGGAGGAAUGAAGCAGGAGAAGAAGGAGGGGCAAUAAAAGGAACUGCAACAGCAGUUGAGUGUGUUUGAUUUUCAGCAGAAGUAACUACAGCUCCAGUUACUUCAGGUUCAGGAACAAGAGCAGCAUGACCAAUUCGCUUGCUAUUUUUAUGAAAGCCAAAACACCAGUAAAUACUCCAGCAGCCUCCCCAUCUUCUUUUCUGAACGGUGGUUGGCUGCACACGAGACUCGGCGGAGACGAUGGCAGUGGCAGCGGCGUUGAUGGUGUCGAAGCUGUUGUUGACGGUUCUCAUCUUGAACUAGGAGGAGUUAAAGAGAGCUUGGAUAACAUAUCAGAUGUGGUAUUGGAUCUGCAAAGUCUGAAAUGAAACCCAGAGAGGAGAAUAAUAAAUCAACAUGGUGAGAUCAAACAAGCACUCUCUCAACUCCCUCUCUUCUCUCUGUUUCCG